RNAcentral lists this small RNA (436 nucleotides) under Oryza sativa Japonica Group (Japanese rice). RNAcentral describes it as "sRNA Os12g0416050". The record is from RNAcentral. Lineage: Eukaryota; Viridiplantae; Streptophyta; Magnoliopsida; Poales; Poaceae.
GCCUUCUCGCCCCUGAUGCGGCGCGCGAGCUGGAUGUCCUUGGGCAUGAUGGUGACGCGUUUGGCAUGGAUAACACAGAGGUUGGUGUCCUUGAAGAGCCCCACAAGGUAGGUCUCGGCAGCCUCCUGCAGCGCAACCACGGCAGAGCUCUGGAAGCGAACAUAGGACCUAACGUCCUGCGCGAUCUCCUGCACCAGCCGCUGGAAGGGGAGCUUGCGGAUUAGCAGCUCUGUGCUCUUCUGGUAUGUGCGGAUCUCUCGGAGUGCGACGGUCCCUGGCUUGAAGCGGUGUGGCUUCUUCAGCCCUGCCAUCGUCGGUGCUGACUUGCGUGCCACCUUCAUCACCAGCAGCUUCCUCGGCACAUUGCUGGCGGUGGACUUCUUCGCCGUCUGCUUUGUGCGGGCCAUCUCUCACCGAAGGAGAAAGAGAGGAGAAG